CCCUUAGAUGUUCUGGGCCGCACGCGCGCUACACUGCCGAUGGCAACGAGUUUUUCCUUCGCCGAAAGGUGUGGGUAAUCUUUUGAAACAUCGUCGUGCUGGGGAUAGAUCAUUGCAAUUUUUGAUCUUGAACGAGGAAUUCCUAGUAAGCGCGAGUCAUCAGCUCGCGUUGAUUACGUCCCUGCCCUUUGUACACACCGCCCGUCGCUACUACCGAUUGAAUGGUUUAGUGAGGACUCCUGAUUGGCGCCGCCGCCCCGGCAACGGAGCAGCGGACUGCCGAAAAGUUGUUCAAACUUGAUCAUUUAGAGGAAGUAAAAGUCGUAACA
This 329-nucleotide ribosomal RNA is filed under the name uncultured eukaryote. RNAcentral describes it as "partial 18S ribosomal RNA". It matches the Rfam family "Eukaryotic small subunit ribosomal RNA", at positions 1470 to 1796 of the family's 1831-position model. The record is from RNAcentral.